AGCGAACGCUGGCGGCAGGCUUAACACAUGCAAGUCGAGCGGGCAUCCUUGUGGUGUCAGCGGCAGACGGGUGAGUAACGCGUGGGAACGUGCCCUUCGGUUCGGAAUAACUCAGGGAAACUUGAGCUAAUACCGGAUACGUGCGAGAGCAGAAAGGUUUAUCUGCCGAAGGAUCGGCCCGCGUCUGAUUAGCUAGUUGGUGAGGUUAUGGCUCACCAAGGCGACGAUCAGUAGCUGGUCUGAGAGGAUGAUCAGCCACACUGGGACUGAGACACGGCCCAGACUCCUACGGGAGGCAGCAGUUGGGAAUAUUGGACCAUGGGGGCAACCCUGAUCCAGCCAUGCCGCGUGAGUGAUGACGGCCUUAGGGUUGUAAAGCUCUUUUCUCCGGGACGAUAAUGACGGUACCGGAGGAAUAAGCCCCGGCUAACUUCGU
Molecule: ribosomal RNA, 436 nt
Filed under: uncultured bacterium
Lineage: Bacteria
Description: partial 16S ribosomal RNA
Rfam family: Bacterial small subunit ribosomal RNA
Source: RNAcentral